RNAcentral lists this ribosomal RNA (1159 nucleotides) under Campylobacter jejuni. RNAcentral's name for it is "partial 23S ribosomal RNA". It matches the Rfam family "Bacterial large subunit ribosomal RNA", at positions 1 to 1172 of the family's 2925-position model. Lineage: Bacteria; Pseudomonadati; Campylobacterota; Epsilonproteobacteria; Campylobacterales; Campylobacteraceae. The record is from RNAcentral.
UAAAAAAAGGUAAGCUACUAAGAGCGAAUGGUGGAUGCCUUGACUGGUAAAGGCGAUGAAGGACGUACUAGACUGCGAUAAGCUACGGGGAGCUGUCAAGAAGCUUUGAUCCGUAGAUUUCCGAAUGGGGCAACCCAAUGUAUAGAGAUAUACAUUACCUAUAUAGGAGCGAACGAGGGGAAUUGAAACAUCUUAGUACCCUCAGGAAAAGAAAUCAAUAGAGAUUGCGUCAGUAGCGGCGAGCGAAAGCGCAAGAGGGCAAACCCAGUGCUUGCACUGGGGGUUGUAGGACUGCAAUGUGCAAGAGCUGAGUUUAGCAGAACAUUCUGGAAAGUAUAACCAUAGAGGGUGAUAGUCCCGUAUGCGAAAAACAAACCUUAGCUAGCAGUAUCCUGAGUAGGGCGGGACACGAGGAAUCCUGUCUGAAUCCGGGUCGACCACGAUCCAACCCUAAAUACUAAUACCAGAUCGAUAGUGCACAAGUACCGUGAGGGAAAGGUGAAAAGAACUGAGGUGAUCAGAGUGAAAUAGAACCUGAAACCAUUUGCUUACAAUCAUUCAGAGCACUAUGUAGCAAUACAGUGUGAUGGACUGCCUUUUGCAUAAUGAGCCUGCGAGUUGUGGUGUCUGGCAAGGUUAAGCAAACGCGAAGCCGUAGCGAAAGCGAGUCUGAAUAGGGCGCUUAGUCAGAUGCUGCAGACCCGAAACGAAGUGAUCUAUCCAUGAGCAAGUUGAAGCUAGUGUAAGAACUAGUGGAGGACUGAACCCAUAGGCGUUGAAAAGCCCCGGGAUGACUUGUGGAUAGGGGUGAAAGGCCAAUCAAACUUCGUGAUAGCUGGUUCUCUCCGAAAUAUAUUUAGGUAUAGCGUUGUGUCGUAAUAUAAGGGGGUAGAGCACUGAAUGGGCUAGGGCAUACACCAAUGUACCAAACCCUAUCAAACUCCGAAUACCUUAUAUGUAAUCACAGCAGUCAGGCGGCGAGUGAUAAAAUCCGUCGUCAAGAGGGAAACAACCCAGACUACCAGCUAAGGUCCCUAAAUCUUACUUAAGUGGAAAACGAUGUGAAGUUACUUAAACAACCAGGAGGUUGGCUUAGAAGCAGCCAUCCUUUAAAGAAAGCGUAAUAGCUCACUGGUCUAGUGAUUUUGCGCGGAAAAUA